ACAGACUGCCGGUCAGUGUCAGCAGGCGGUGGGUUAGGGUCCGCAGGCCCAGACCAGGCCGCCGACACCAAUAAGCUACAAGGAGGAGCUUUACCGCUGCCUGUACUACUACUGCCUGCGCUACUUCCCAGCCUGCGGCGUAGGGCGCAGCAAGGGCCUGACGCUUAGCGAGCAGGCGCUGCGCACCAAGCGGCUGUCGCCUGGAGGGCACGUUCAGGCAGAAGCUCCUCAGUGGCCACAAGUCCGCUAGCUCCGGCUACAGCCCUUGCCGCACACUCGCGUCACCUGAGCCUGUGUAGGUGCGCCCCCCAACUCCUCCCCCAGCCAGGUCCCGGGGACGCCGGCAGCGUCCCCCACCCCUGGCGCCGCUCAUCCUGGGCAGGAUCGGCCCCGUCUGAGGCUGCACCGCAUUAGGGAGCUGCACCCCUCGGCUUGACCUCUGAUGGCCGUUGCAACAACAUCAAAGCCUUUGGAACUUUGUAGGGGGUACGAGGGGCUAGGAAACCAAGAAAACAUCUUUUUAAAAAUAUAAGCGAUCGGGCCGGGCGCGGUGGCUCACGCCUGUAAUCCCAGCACUUUGGGAGGCCGAGACAGGUGGAUCACGAGGUCGGGAAUUCAAGACCAUCCUGGCCAGCAUGGUGAAUCCCGUCUCUACUAAAAAUGCAAAAAUUAGCCGGGCGUGGUGGCGGGCACAUGUAAUACCAGCUAUUCGGGAGGUUGAGGCAGAGGCAGACAAUUGCUUGAACCCGGGAGGCAGAGGCUGCAGUUAGCCGAGAUCGUGCCACUGCACUCUAGCCUGGGCGACAGACCAAGACUCCGUCUAAAAAAUAAAAAACUAUAUAUAUGUGUGUGUAUAUAUAUAUAUAUAUAUGCGAUGGAGCCCGGGAGGUUGAGGUUACUGUGAGCCGAGAUUACACCACUGCACUUCAGCCUGGGUGACAGAGGGAGACCCUGUCUCUAAAAAAAAAAUAUAUGCAAGUGAGAGCUUUUCUUCCAGUGCUCAUGCUCAGACUGAAGAAAGUUAUUGGGCCGGCCCAGUGGCUCACACCCGUAAUCCCAGCACUUUGGGAGGCCUAGGUGGGCGGAUCCCUUGAGCUCAGGCGUUCCAGACUAGCUUGGGCAACAUGGUGAAAUUCGGUCUCUACAAAAAUACAAAAAAUUAUCUGGGCGUCGUGGUGGGCGCCUGUAGUCCCAGCUACUCAGGAGGCUGAGGCAGGAGAGUGGUGUGAACCCGGGAGGCGGAGCUUGCAGUGAGCGGAGAUCGCUCCACUGCACUCCAGCCUGGGCCACAGAGCGAGACUCCAUCACACACACACACAAAAAAUUAGCUGGGCAUGGUGGCACGGGCUUGUAGUCCCCUCUGCUUGCGGGGCUGAGGCGGGAGGAUCGCUUGAGCCCAGGAGGUGGAGGCUGCAGUGAGCGGUGAUCUCGCCACUGCACUCCAGCCUGGUCGACAGAGUGAGACACUGUGUCAAAAAAAGAAAAAAGAGAAAGUAACUGAUCUGUGUUUUUGUCUGAUUUCCUACAGGAUGCCGAAGGACCUGUUCAAAGUAUUUUCUGUAACUCCAACUGUAACUUGGUUCUAGGAGGAGAGAAUCCAUGUUUGGUCAACAGAACUUUUCGCCGCCACUUAAGUUUACUGCUUCAAUAUCUUUUCCUUACUAAUUGAUUGUUAAUUAAGUAGUGUCCAAGUGAGUUAGCCUUUUUAGGGUUGAUUAAUUAAAAGAGCAGCAAGAAUGGCAUUUUAACUCUUCUGGUUUUUGGGGUUUUUUUUUCAGUUACUAUGAUAACUCUUUUCAAGUCCACAAAUGAUUUGUUCUUAGCUGUAAAGAAGAGGUCAGAAAUGUAAGUGGGGAGAGAACAAAGAUAGGAAUAUGUGUAAGAUUUCUACCUAAAUGUUGGCAGGGCACGGUAGCUUAUGUCUGUAAUCCCAGCACUUUGGGAGACCUAGGUGGUCGAUCGCCUGGAGUCAGAAGUUCGAGACCAGCCUGGCAAACAUGGCAAAACCCCAUCUCUACUAAAAAUACAAAAAUUAGAUGGGCGUGGUGGUGGGCGCCUUUAGUCCCAGCUACUUGGGAGGCUGAGGCAGGAGAAUCGCUUGAACCUGUGAGGCCAAUGUUGCGGUGAGCCAAGAUCAUGCCACUGCGCUACAGCCUGGGCAACAAAGCAAGACUCCAUCUAAAAAAAAGACUUCUACCUAAAUGUCACAGACUACUCUGAAGGUUAAUAUUUGGUAUUGUGAUGUAUAUUGCACAGUGUGUCAACCUCAAAUAAUCAAAAGGGUCAGAAUCUAAAGGGAGUUUAUUCAUGCACAGAGUUUAAGGAGAGCCACCUGGGAAGCGCAGGUACCCAAGGGUGGAAGACAGUGUUCCAAGGCUUAGAAGUUUGGGAUCACUUGCAUAGACAAAGUUUAGGGAAGUUUAGCAGAAUUUCAGCAUCUCUCCGUUUAAGGCUUAAUACGUAGUUAAAACAAUCUGAUUGGUUCAGGUGGUCUUUCUUUGACUCUGUCACCCAGGCUGAGUGCAGUGGUGCAAUCGCAACUCAUUACAGCCUCAGCCUCCUGGCUCAAGUGAUCCUCCCACCUCAGCAUCCCUAGUAGCUGGGACUACAGGCGUGCACCAACACACCUGACUAAUUUUUGUAUUUUUUGUAGAGACAGGGUUUCACCACAUUGCCCAGGCCAGUCUCAAAUUCCUGGGCUUAAGCAGUCCACUCACCUCAGCCUCCCAAAGUACCGGGAUUACAGGCAUGAGUGACGGCGCCCAGACUAGGUGGUCUUUUUUCCGGGAAAGGUGUAUUUUACCUUCUACACUGAAGAUGUAAGUCAUGGGGUCUUUUGUGCCAUCUGGUGUGAGGUACAGAACAAUAAAGGAGGCAGUUAAUGUGUAAUAAAGAUGAGUGAUUGGAAGGAGAGUAGGACUAGUCUCUGGUCUCUCAUAGUCAUUUACCGAAUGAAAAUAAUAAGGAAGGAAUAAAUUAUAAUUUAAGAAGCAGAAGUGGCCGGGCGCGGUGGCUCACACCUGUAAUCCCAGCACUUUGGGAGGCUGAGGCAGGUGGAUCAUGAGGUCAGGAGAUCGAGACCAGCCUGGCUAACACAGUGAAACCCCGUCUCUACUAAAAACACAAAAAAUUUGCUGGGCUUGGUGGCGGGCACCUGUAGUCCCAGCUACUUGGGAGGCUGAGGCAGGAGAAUGGCGUGAACCCGGGAGGUGGAGCUUGCAGUGAGCUGAGAUCCUGCCACUGCACUCUGACCCGGGCGACAGAGCGAGACUCCGUCUCAAAAAAAAAACAGAAGCAGAAGUUGCAAACAUGCUAUGUGACUCGGUCAGGGUGUAACUUCCCUCCUGGCAUGAUAAAUUUAUAGAGGGUCCUGAAACUUUUUUUUAUUUUAUAGUUGCUAGGUUCUCUGCACUGUCAAUCCCAUAACAAUUCUUCGAGGUAGAUACUGCUAUCCACUUUUUGUUUGUUUGUUUUUGAGACAGAGUCUUGUUCUGUCAUCCAGGCUGGAGUGCAGUGGCAUGAUCUCGGCUCACUGCAACCUCUGCCUCCUGGGUUCAAGCAAUUCUCCAACCUCAGCCUCCCCAGUAGCUGGGAUUACAGGUGCCCACUACCACACCCAGCUAAUUUUUGUGUUUUUAAUAGAGACCACGUUUCACCUUGUUUACCAGGCUGGUCUCGAACUCCUGGCCUCAGAUGAUUCACCCGCCUUGGCCUCCCAAAGUGCUGGGAUUACAAGCAUGAGCCACCACGCCCUGCCCACAUUUUAGAAAAUGAAUUAUAAGGCACAGAGAGUUCAAGUACCUUUCCAAAGAUGACACAGCUAAUUAGACAGCAGACUAGGUGACCUGACCCCAGGACUUUUGCCCUUGACCUCUGCACUACCUUGUUGAGCAGAGCAGUAAAUAUUUCAUACAUAGCUUUAUCCAGAAUUUUCCUGUUGGUUGUGGUAAACCAUGUUUUGUUGUUUUGAGACAGGCUCUUCUUCUGUUGCCCAGGCUGCUGGUGUGCAGCGACACAAACACUGCUCACUGCAGCCUUAACCUCCUGGGCUCAGGCUAUCCAUUUCAGCUUCCGGAAGUGCUGGGAUUACAGGAAUGUGCCAUCAUGCCUGGCCUCACACUACAUUUUAAUGCUUUUUUUGAAAAUGAAAACUUUUGGCCAGGCACAGUGACUCUCACCUGUAAUCCCAGCACUUUGGGAGGCUGAGGCGGGCGGAUCACGAGGUCAGGAGAUUGAGACCAUCCUGGCUAACAUGGUGAAACCCCAUCUCUACUAAAAAAUACAAAAAAUUGGCCAGGCAUGGUGGCGGGUGCCUGUAGUCCCAGCUACUUGGGAGGCUGAGGCAGGAGAAUGGUGUGAACCCGGGAGGUGGAGCUUGCAGUGAGCCAAGAUCAUGCCACUGCACUCCAGCCUGGGCAACAGAGUGAGACUCCAUCUCAAAAAAAAGAAAAUGGAAACUUUUACCAGUGAUUCCCUUCCUUCAAACUAAUGAUAAGGAAAUGAUGCUGUUCUGUUUUGUUUUCUUUUUGCAUGUUUUUUUUUUCUUUUUUGAGAGAGGUUCUUGCUCUGUUGCCCAGGCUGGAGUGAGGUGGCGCAAUCAUGGCUCACUGCAGCCUCGACCUCCCAGACUCAAGCAAUCCUUCCCCCAGCCUCCUAAGUAGCUGAGACUACAGGUUGUGCUACCACAGUUGGCUAAUUUUUGUAUUUUUUGUAGAGACAGGGUUUCACCAUGUUGCCCAGGGUGGUCUCAAACUCCUGGGCUCAGCUAUCCUCCACCCUUGGCCUCCCAAAGUGCUGGGAUUACAGGCGUGAGCCACUGUACUUGGCUGAUGCUGUUCUUUUCAAACGCAUAUUUACUUUUUUUUUUUUCUUUUUUUUUUUUUUUUUUUUUGAGAUGGAGUCUCACUCUGUCUCCCCGGCUGGAGUGCAGUGGUGCAAUCUUGACUCACUGCAGCCUGGUCUUGAACUCCUGACCUCAGAUGAUCCACGUGCCUUGGCAUCCCAAAGUGCUGGGAUUACAGGUGUGAUCCACCACACGUGACGAUUUUGCUCAUUUUAGAUACUAGAACUUGUUAAUUAAAAAAAAAAAUUUUUUUUUUUGAGCUGGAGUGCAGUGGUGUGAUCUCGGCUCACUGCCACCUCCGCCUCCUGGGUUCAAGCGAUUCUCCUGCCUCAGCCUCUCGAGUAGCUGGGACUACAGGCACAUGCCACCAUGCCCAGCUAAUUUUUGUAUUUUUAGUAGACAGGGUUUCACCAUGUUGGCCAGGAUGGUCUUGAUCUCUUGACCUCGUGAUCCGCCUGCCUCGGCCUCCCAAAAUGCAUGAGCCACUGCACCCGGCCAAAAAAAAUGUUUUUUGAGGCAAAAUCUUACUCUGUCAUGCAGGCUGGAGUACAGUGGCACAGUCACAGCUCACUGCAGCCUCGAAUUCCUUGACUCAGGUGAUUCUCCCACCAUAGUCUCCAAGUAUCUGGGACUACAGGUGCACGCCGCCACCACACCCAGCUAAUUUUUGUUUGUUUAUUUUGUUUUUUGAGAUAGAGUCUCACUCUGUUGCCCAGGCUGGAGUGUAGUGGCGCGAUCUCGGCUCACUGCAAGCUCUGCCUCCUGGGUUCAUGCCAUUCUCCUGCCUCCACCUCCUGAGUAGCUGGGACUACAGGCGCCUGCCACCACGUCUGGCUAAAUUUUUUGUAUUUUUAAUAGAGACGAGGUUUCACCAUCUAUUAAAGCCAAAAUGGUCUUGAUCUCCUGACCUCGUGAUCCGCCGGCCUCAGCCUCCCGAAGUACUGGGAUUACAGGCAUGAGCCACCGCACCCGGCCCACACCCAGCUAAUUUUUUUUUGUAUUUUGUAGAGAAAGUGUUUUGCCAUAUUGCCCAGGCUGGUCUCAAACUCAUGGGCUCAAGCGAUCUUCCAGCCUCAGCCUCCUAAAGUGCUAGGAUUACAGGCAUGAGCCACUGCUCCCAACCUUUUUAAUUCAAUUUAAAUUAUAAAUAUGAUCGCUAUAGAAAAUACGUGUAUUAUUUAUCUGCUGCUAUGUAACAAAUUACUCCAGACCUAGUGGCUGAAAAUAAAUACUUAGGACCAGGCACAGUGGCUCAUGCCUGUAAUCCCAACACUUUGAGAGGCCGAGGUGGGAAGAUCACUUGCGUCCAGCAGUUUAAGAUCAACGUGGGCAACAUAGUGAGACUCCAUCUCUACAGAAAAUGCAAACAUUAGCCAGGUGUGAUGGUGCACACCUGUGGUCCCAGCUACUUAGGAGGCUGAUGUGGGAGAAUCACUUGAGCCAGGGAGGGAGAGGUUACAGUGAGCCAAGAUCACACCACCACACUCCAGCCUGGGUGACAGAGUGAGACUCUGUCUCAAAAAUAAAUAAAUAAAUAAAUAAAUAAAAUAUUUACUUAGGAACUCCAUUUCUGUGAGUCAGGAAUUCAGGAGUGGCAUAGCUGGGUCAUCUGGGCUCAGGGUGUCUCGUGACAUUGCAGUCAAGCUGUCCUCUGAGACUGCAGUCACCUAAAGCCUGUUUCCAAGAUGGCUCACUCAUGUGACUGCUGACCGGAGGCCUCAGUUCCUGUCACAUGAGCCUCCCUACAGGCUGCUUAGGUGUCAUGGUGUGACAGCUGGCUUUCCCAAGUGAGUAAUCAAAGAGUGAGCAAGGAGGAAGCCAUAGUACCUUUUAUGAUGUAGCUUGCAAAGUUGCAAGCCAUCACUUUUGCUUUUUCCUAUCUGUCAGAAGGGAAUCACGUAACCCAGCCCACACUAAAAGAGAUAGGAACUGGGCUCCGCCUUUUGAAGAGAGUAUCAGAGAAUUUGGGGACAUAUUUUAAAUGACCAUACUAUGUUUAAUUAUUGCAAGUACAGUCACUGUAGAAAAAUUGGAAAAUAGGGACAAGCAGAAAAAACAGUCACUUGUAAUUCCAUGAAUCAAUGGAUAACAUUACUAGUUGGAUGUAUAUAAUUCCAAUAUUCAAAAUAUAUAUUUUCUCAAAAUAUAAAUACACUAUAUGUACUGUGGUGUAAUCUGCUCUUUCACUUAAUGUAUGUAUUAUAAAAAAUACCUUUCAUGUCAAAUAUUCUUUCCUUUUUUUUUUUUUAUUGAGACGGAACUUCAUUCUUGUCACCCAGGCUAGAGUGCAAUGGUGCGAUCUCUGCUCACUGCAACCUCUGCCUCAUGGGUUGAAGUGAUUCUCCUGCCUCAGCCUCCCUAGUAGCUGGGAUUACAAGCAUGAGCCACCAAGCCGAGCUAAUUUUUUUUUUUUUUUUUUUUUUGAGACGGAGUCUCACUCUGUCAGCCAGGCUGGAGUGCAGUGGCGCAAUCUCGGCUCAUGGCAAGCUCCGCCUCCUGGGUUCACCCCAUUCUCCUGCCUCAGCCUCCCGAGUAGCUGGGACUACAGGCACCUGCCACCACGCCCAGCUAAUUUUUUCUAUUUUUUAGUAGAGACAGGAUUUCACCGCGUUAGCCAGUAUGGUCUUGAUCUCCUGACCUUGUGAUCCACCUGCCUCGGCCUCCCAAAGUGCUGGGAUUACAGGCGUGAGCCACCAUGCCCAGCCAAGCUAAUUUUUUUGUAUUUUUAGUAGAGACAGGGUUUCACCAUGUUGACUAGGCUAGUCUCAGACUCUUGACCUCAAGUGAUCACCCACCUCGGCCUCCCAAAGUGCUGGGAUUACAGGCAUGAGCCACCGUACUUAGCCCCUCAUAACAUUUUUUAAUGGUUGCAUACAUUUCAUCAUAUGUAUGUAUCAUAACUUAUUUAAUGAAUUCUAUUAUAGGACACUUAGGUUGUUUACAGGUUUUCCCUGUUUUAUACAUUUUUUUAAAUGAACAUCCCUACAGCACAUUUAUUUGUACAAUCAUGACUGUUUCUUAAAUCCCUAGAAGUGAAAUUUUUGGAACACAGUUUGCAUAAUUUUAAAACUUCAAAUGCCUGUUACCUAAUUUGAGCAGAAUUUCUACUGCAAUAAUCAAGAGUCCAUUUGGCCAAAUUUCUUAUCUAUGACAACACCUGCAAAAGUUCAAAUACUGAUAACUAUAAGUGAAUUUGUUGAGAGUGACUGAAAUCACUAUGGAAUGAGAAAUUGCUAUAAAAAUUUUACUAAAGAGUGAACUGGCUGGGCGCAGUGGCUCACGCCUGUAAUCCUAGCACUUUGGGAGGCGAGGUGAGCGGAUUGCCUGGGCUCAGAAGUUUGAGACCGCCCUGGACAACAUGGUAAAAUCUCAUAAGUACUAAAAAUACAAAAUUAGCCAGGCGUGGUGGUGGGCACCUUUAAUCCCACCUACUCGGGAGGCUGAGGCAGGAGAAUCACUUGAGCCCAGGAAGCAGAGGUUGCAGUGAGCCGAGAUCACACCACUACAUUCCAGCCUGGGCGACAGAGUGGGACUCUGCCUCAAAAAAAUAAAAUAGGGAGAUCUGAGUGUGUUACCAACACCACCACACACUACCAAACAGUUUUCCAAAGUGGGUACACCAAUGUAAACUCCCAUUAGAGCUGUAUGAAUUUCUGUUACACCACAUCCUCCUAAUCUUUGGCAUUGUUAGUGCUUUCAGCUUUAGGAUUUUUGGUGACUCUGUAGAGGGAUCUAUUAGUGGGUAUUUUGUUUUUCGUUUUUGUUUUUGGGGUUUGGGGGUCUUUUUUUUUAACAAAAUAUGUUCCAAUUUAAAACAGUUCAUUUCAGGAGAAAGAUAUGAAAAGUCAACUUCCAUCGGUGUCUGGAUUAAGGGUCAAGGCCAGUGGCCAUGGGAAUUGACAAUGAGUCACUCCUCAGCCCCUCCCAUCCCCCAACAUGCACGACACAUGCAUUUCAAAUGGUAAAAGGUGUAAAAACAGCAUGGUAUAGAAUAUUCUUUCUUAAAUAAGGUUGAAAUUGUCUGAAAUCAGGACAGUGUAAUAUAUAACUAUCACUGGAUCCUGUCUGCCAGGCCAGCCGCAGGAUCUGCUGCCACCACUGGGGGACAUUGGCACAGGAAUGCUCUUCUAUGGGAGCCGGGGGGACCCAGGGUGUGGCUCUUGCGAUGGCCAGGGGCUGCUGCUGCCUGGGCAUGACAUGGUCAGAGAAGGUGGUCGGCGGUAACGAGAAAGCAUUGGCAGGUGAGAUUCACCAAGGUAAAAACACACACCCCACACGUGGCCCCACACAUGAUAAGGAUGGGGGUCAGCUGCCCCUUCCCUGACAUGAGGGUGUCACUGGCACGAGAACCACUGCCUGGGACUCUACUGGGACAGGCACCCCUGCCCCGGGCCUGCAACACCCACCUCUGCUUUUUUGAGGGGUCAAGGGAUCAGGCAGUCAGACCCAGAGGACCCAGGCCAAGAUGGUUUGGUGGCCUCAGCCUGGCUCUGGGAUGCUUGGCACGGCCCCCUCCCCUGGAAGGGCUAAUACUUAGCCCGGCAGCGCCCCAGCUUCCAUGCUAGGCGAUUCCAUCCUCCAGCCGGGUUCGGGUCCCCUUGUGCGAUCUGGGCCCUCAGAGAUGCCACAAGCCCAGGCCCCCUAGAGGGGUCCGCUGCCAGCAAUGGAUGCACCAGCCCCGCCAGGGGUGGCACCAUGUGCUCCCCCAGGGCACCUCCGGGCCCCAGCACUCACCAUGGGGGGCUUCUGGUACCGACCGUCUUAAGUAGACACUUGGCACAAAAAAAGGACGCUUCCAGGAGAGACAAAAGAGGAAAAGUGGCAUGGGGAAGCGAGGGGAGGGGGGGCACUGCCCCGUUUCCCAGUGGGGCUGAUCACCAGAAAUGUACCUGCCCUGACCAGCAUGCGUCUCCCCUGCCCCCUCCACGGGGGUCCCCCUCUUCUCCCCCCAGAAGCCAGCAGACAGCCCCUGUGCACGAGGAGUCCGGGGCAGGCCUGACAGUGGCAGCUGGGAACUGCUGAUCCGGGUGGUCUUAUUUGGGGGCUAUUUCUUUUGUAAUCUGUCAAGGCCAGAAGCAGCCGUGCGGGGUCCCGGAAUGGCAGCAGGCGAGGGCAGCACGGGUGAUCCAUCCCCGGGACAGCUAUGAGAAGCCCAGACCCACAGAGCGCCACAGUGUUCAGUCAACAGCAGACGAAAAAGCCACCACCCCAAAAAGAGUCCCCUCGUUCCCCACCUUCCGAGUCUUUCGGGGAGAACCAGUCUGGGUACCUCAGUGCCUAAAGGGGUCCCGGGAGGCAGUCCCUGGGGCUGUGGCUCAGUGUGCAGCCGUGGCCUGGCGGGCUCCCCAUCAGACCAUGGCCAUGGCCAGCCAGGCCUGGAAGCUGCCAGGGCCAGUGCCUGCCACCACCUUCCAUGCGCCCCUGGCCCAAGUGCAAGUGCUGGCUUCCCGCUCCUCGGGGGCGGCACAAGUGCAUGGGACAAGGCCAUGCACGGAGCUGCCUGCCAUGUCCCUCUCUCUACCUCUCAGGUACACACCUGAGAAUAUUCUGUAAAAGUCCCCACCCCACCCUCACUGUUUCCAAAUUGGGGACAACACAAAGCAGAACAAAACGAAAAGAAAUGCCCCCAUCCAAGUGGCCUUUCUCUCGGUGUUACUGGGGGACCGUCCCUCCAGCAGCUAAGCCCACGUGAGCUCCAGUGGGGUACACUCCAGCCGGGACAGGGUGGCUGUGCAGCCCUCUGGAGCCCCCCGGCAGCCCCAAGCUGCCAGUGUUGCCCCUGGAGGCACAGCCCAGAGGAGCCUCGAGCCCCUGUAACUCCAGCCCAGGGGCCCUUCCCAGCCUCUGCAGA
Molecule: long non-coding RNA, 10694 nt
Filed under: Homo sapiens (human)
Lineage: Eukaryota; Metazoa; Chordata; Mammalia; Primates; Hominidae
Description: non-protein coding lnc-TPST1-1:12
Source: RNAcentral